GUCAUAGUCACAGCUACUGAUUCACCUGCCUUCCUGUCUGGUUUUUGCGGGCCCUGGGAGGAAGUGUUUAUUGGCUCCUGAGUCACCAGCCCCUGCCACCUGCUGGCCUCUCCCCACAAGUGUCCCCCUUUCCAUGUUGCUUCCCCUUUGACCCUAGGAUUUCUGCUCUCUGUCUGUUCUCUGGGUGGCGCAGCCAAUCAGCUUGUGAGAUCAGAGACGUUGAGCUUGCCAAGGUGGAUGUCGUUCUAGUUAUGCACAUGUAUAAGCAGGUGUGGGCCUUGUGUUGAGGAGGGAAGCCCUGUGUCCCAGGUUCUUACAUGCUGUCUGCUGAGAAGUCACUGCCCGGGGACUCCUAGCACCCAUGUGAGCCAUGACAGCUGGAAAAAAGGAUUGGCUCUAAAAUAAGAACACUGUAAAAAGGAAAUCAAUAAAUCCAUCAUCCAAUGUCCAAC
This 452-nucleotide long non-coding RNA is filed under the name Heterocephalus glaber (naked mole-rat). Its description in RNAcentral is "lncRNA (ENSHGLG00000035170.1)". Lineage: Eukaryota; Metazoa; Chordata; Mammalia; Rodentia; Bathyergidae. The record is from RNAcentral.